This 679-nucleotide ribosomal RNA is filed under the name Bacillus sp. I12B-01509. RNAcentral's name for it is "bacterial SSU rRNA". It matches the Rfam family "Bacterial small subunit ribosomal RNA", at positions 77 to 741 of the family's 1533-position model. Lineage: Bacteria; Bacillati; Bacillota; Bacilli; Caryophanales; Bacillaceae. The record is from RNAcentral.
AGCUUGCUCCCGGAUGUUAGCGGCGGACGGGUGAGUAACACGUGGGUAACCUGCCUGUAAGACUGGGAUAACUCCGGGAAACCGGAGCUAAUACCGGAUAGUUCCUUGAACCGCAUGGUUCAAGGAUGAAAGACGGUUUCGGCUGUCACUUACAGAUGGACCCGCGGCGCAUUAGCUAGUUGGUGAGGUAACGGCUCACCAAGGCGACGAUGCGUAGCCGACCUGAGAGGGUGAUCGGCCACACUGGGACUGAGACACGGCCCAGACUCCUACGGGAGGCAGCAGUAGGGAAUCUUCCGCAAUGGACGAAAGUCUGACGGAGCAACGCCGCGUGAGUGAUGAAGGUUUUCGGAUCGUAAAGCUCUGUUGUUAGGGAAGAACAAGUGCAAGAGUAACUGCUUGCACCUUGACGGUACCUAACCAGAAAGCCACGGCUAACUACGUGCCAGCAGCCGCGGUAAUACGUAGGUGGCAAGCGUUGUCCGGAAUUAUUGGGCGUAAAGGGCUCGCAGGCGGUUUCUUAAGUCUGAUGUGAAAGCCCCCGGCUCAACCGGGGAGGGUCAUUGGAAACUGGGAAACUUGAGUGCAGAAGAGGAGAGUGGAAUUCCACGUGUAGCGGUGAAAUGCGUAGAGAUGUGGAGGAACACCAGUGGCGAAGGCGACUCUCUGGUCUGUAACU